GAAUAUUGGUCAAUGGACGCAAGUCUGAACCAGCCAUGCCGCGUGGAGGAUGAAGGUCCUCUGGAUUGUAAACUUCUUUUAUCGGAGAAGAAACCCCAGCAUUCCUGUUGGGUUGACGGUACCCGAUGAAUAAGCACCGGCGAACUCCGUGCCAGCAGCCGCGGUAAUACGGAGGGUGCAAGCGUUAUCCGGAUUCACUGGGUUUAAAGGGUGCGUAGGUGGGAUAGUAAGUCCGUGGUGAAAUCUCCAAGCUUAACAUGGAAACUGCCGUGGAUACUAUUAGUCUUGAAUAUUGUGAAGGUAAGCGGAAUAUGUCAUGUAGCGGUGAAAUGCUUAGAUAUGACAUAGAACACCGAUAGCGAAGGCAGCUUGCUACACGAUCAUUGACACUGAGGCACGAAAGCGUGGGGAUCAAACAGG
RNAcentral lists this ribosomal RNA (420 nucleotides) under uncultured bacterium. RNAcentral's name for it is "bacterial SSU rRNA". It matches the Rfam family "Bacterial small subunit ribosomal RNA", at positions 359 to 776 of the family's 1533-position model. The record is from RNAcentral.